ACACGCAUGACACACUGCAUAUCAAUAAGCGGAGGAAAAGAAACUAACAAGGAUUCCCCUAGUAACGGCGAGUGAAGCGGGAAGAGCUCAAAUUUGAAAUCUUAAAGGGUUUCCCUUUACGAAUUGUAGUUUAAAGAAGUGUUUUCUGUUGGAGUUUCGGUAAAAGUUCUUUGGAAUAGGACAUCAUAGAGGGUGAGAAUCCCGUAUUUGACCGUUACUUUCCAGCUGUGUGAUACACUUUCAAAGAGUCGGAUUGUUUGGGAAUGCAGUCCAAAAUGGGUGGUAAAUUUCAUCUAAAGCUAAAUAUUGGCGAGAGACCGAUAGCGAACUAAGUACCGUGAGGGAAAGAUGAAAAGAACUUUGAAAAGAGAGUUAAACAGUACGUGAAAUUGUCAAAAGGGAAGCGUUUGACACCAGUGUUGUUUAGUUGAAAAUCAAUUCAAUAAUUUUCGAUUUUGAGUAGUAUUGACUUCAUCAGCUUGCUGCUUUCUUUUCGGAAAUUAUUGAAUGCACUUUUCAGUUAACAAGUCAACAUCAAUUUCUUUUGUUGUAAAAGGGUAAGAGGAAGGUGGCUUACGCUUCGGCGUAAGUGUUUAUAGCCUUUUACCUCUGCAAUCGGAGAGAUUGAGGACAGCAGCGUAGACUCUUCGGGGUUAGAUACACUUGUGCUAAGCUAUAGCCUUGUAUAGACAACUUGUUGACUAUGCUCAGUCAUGUAGCUUACUCGCUUGUGCUAUUUUACCUACGCUUAGGAUGUUGACUGAUAUGUAGUCGUA
This 776-nucleotide ribosomal RNA is filed under the name uncultured Neocallimastigales. RNAcentral's name for it is "partial large subunit ribosomal RNA". It matches the Rfam family "Eukaryotic large subunit ribosomal RNA", at positions 23 to 644 of the family's 3401-position model. Lineage: Eukaryota; Fungi; Neocallimastigomycota; Neocallimastigomycetes; Neocallimastigales. The record is from RNAcentral.